Molecule: long non-coding RNA, 392 nt
Filed under: Gallus gallus (chicken)
Lineage: Eukaryota; Metazoa; Chordata; Aves; Galliformes; Phasianidae
Description: lncRNA (ENSGALG00010006541.1)
Source: RNAcentral
GAAACUUUUCAAGUAGCUUUGAAAUAAAUAGAAAAAGGAGCCUUUUUUUUCCCUGAAAUUAGCACAUGAUACCAGGUAUUCCUUCAUGAAGUUUCUCUUCAGGGAACAGAAGUUCAAUCUAUUCAGCACCCCUUCUUUUACAUGAUCUACUUUAAACCUGAUACAAUGCAGCAUGCUCAGAGAGGACAAUGUUAUUGUUGUUGGCUCUAACACGUCAAAACAACAGUCUUGAAAACUUGUGUCUAAAGAUGUGAUGUCACUAUGUUGACAGCAGAGCAGAGAUGAAGCAUCCUGGUAAGUUUCUCAUUUUGUCACUGUUUUGCUUACAAAGAAGCAAAAUUGCUUCUGACAGUGUCUUGGUGACACCACUAUUUGCAGCUAGGCCAGUAGUC